GGCGGCGGCGGCGGCGGGUG
Molecule: microRNA, 20 nt
Filed under: Macrophomina phaseolina MS6
Lineage: Eukaryota; Fungi; Ascomycota; Dothideomycetes; Botryosphaeriales; Botryosphaeriaceae
Description: miR-3960
Source: RNAcentral